This 796-nucleotide long non-coding RNA is filed under the name Homo sapiens (human). RNAcentral's name for it is "non-protein coding lnc-FKBP7-2:1". The record is from RNAcentral. Lineage: Eukaryota; Metazoa; Chordata; Mammalia; Primates; Hominidae.
UGGCACGCUCCUGUAAUCCCAGCUGCUUGGGAGGCUGAGACACGAGAAUUCCUUGGACCCAGUAGGCAGUGGUUGCAGUGAGCUGGGAUCGCGCCAUUGCACUCCAGCCUGGGCGACAGAGCAAGACUCUGUCUCCAAACAAACAAAAAAAAGACAUGCCAAAUGACAUGGCAGGUAUUGGGUUCUCCCCCACUGGUGAUGGCCAUGCUGUUUCUGUAUAGCCUGAAGGUGAACCCAACCAUUAAGUACAUUUGUAGAAAUGAGGGGUAUGGAGUGUCCUUUCUGCAUCUUGGCACUUUGUCAGCAAAAAAAGCUAACAAACUUUACUAUAUUUGUGCUUCUUGACAGAUAAAAUGGGAAUUACUAAGCUGUAAUCAGGCCUAAAGUGGCCUGACUUAAUACAGAGACUUUCUCACUUCUCCAUCACAAUUAUUUGGGUAGCUUCGGCAUGCAGCAUUCUUUGCAGUUCCUGACCCCUUAAUGCCUGACCCUUCCAAGCAACCAAAGAACCAGCUUAAUCCUAUUGGUUCAUUACAGGAAUUGGCUAUUCAUCAUGGCUGGAGACUUCCUGAAUAUACCCUUUCCCAGGAGGGAGGACCUGCUCAUAAGAGAGAAUAUACUACAAUUUGCAGGCUAGAGUCAUUUAUGGAAACUGGAAAGGGGGCAUCAAAAAAGCAAGCCAAAAGGAAUGCUGCUGAGAAAUUUCUUGCCAAAUUUAGUAAUAUUUCUCCAGAGAACCACAUUUCUUUAACAAAUGUAGUAGGACAUUCUUUAGGAUGUACUUGGCAUUCCUUGA